Molecule: ribosomal RNA, 299 nt
Filed under: uncultured bacterium
Lineage: Bacteria
Description: partial 16S ribosomal RNA
Rfam family: Bacterial small subunit ribosomal RNA
Source: RNAcentral
ACGAACGCUGGCGGCGUGCUUAACACAUGCAAGUCGAGCGGUAAGGCCCUUUCGGGGGUACACGAGCGGCGAACGGGUGAGUAACACGUGGGUGACCUGCCCUCAGCUCUGGGAUAAGCCUGGGAAACGUGGGUCUAAUACUGGAUAUGACUCCACGGUGCAUGUCGUGGGGUGGAAAGCCUUGUGCGGCUGAGGAUGGGGCCCGCGGCCUAUCAGCUUGUUGGUGGGGUGANGGCCUACCAAGGCGACGACGGGUAGCCGGCCUGAGAGGGCGACCGGCCACACUGGGACUGAGACAC